Molecule: long non-coding RNA, 2400 nt
Organism: Carassius gibelio (silver crucian carp)
Lineage: Eukaryota; Metazoa; Chordata; Actinopteri; Cypriniformes; Cyprinidae
Exons: 4
Source: RefSeq, a predicted model, not a curated record
UAAUGCCACACAAUAUUGGAGCAAAUCCAUACAGGACGCAUGCGUUCUAUCGUAGGAAGAUUAAUCUGCUACAAGCGCAUCUAAGACCACGCGUUUUGUGCAGGGUCGUAUUCCCGGAUGUGGAUUGGUUGAAAUUAUAUUCCAUGCAGGAAGACAACGUUGAAUUGUUGAACGUUGACAACUUCGAACACGGCAAAUAACAUCGACUAGAGAAGAGGACAUUUUUGCAUUGCUUUUUAAGCUCUCGGUGCGUUUCUGAAUAUUGGGUAAAAUGGUCAGAUUGGACCUUGGUGAUGUAGUUUUGCGCAGGAUGCAAGGCCACUAUCACCUCAGAAGGAACUUGGUGGAUCGAAAUAAUGAGAAGAUACGUCCUGGAGAGGAAGGAUGAACCACCUGAUUAUUAACCUUGUGACUCGUCCGCUCGCUCUCUUCAUGCUGGCCACCCUCUCCUCUGUCCUCCGCUGUGUGCUGCACUCAUUUAUCAUGGCCUUGGGCAUUCCCUGUCUUCAUCUGCAUCAUCUAGGCUUUAUUUGCUAGAGAAGGCAACAUUUAAUUUAAGUAAUAUUCUGGGUUCAAUACGCGUUAAGAUCAAUAAACCUGUGGUGUAAUGUUAAAGGUGACCAUGAAAAAUAUUUUAAGGUGAUUUUAUAAAAGGAAACAAUUGUUCAAACUUGCGUGUGUUAGACAGUAUGUCAAAACAAGUGCAUUUAUUUAAUGAAUGCCAAAAGAUUAUUAAAUCAUUUUACAAUCAUUUAAAGUGUACUUUAAAGUAAAACUAAUAAUUUGAUAUUGCACUUAAGUUUGUUAAGAAACAUGGUAAUGUAAGUGUACUAUCUUUAUACUUAAAUGACCUUCUAUAAUACAAUGUACAUCCGAAUGUAACUGAAAAUUACUUGUUCUGUAUGAAAAUGAUUAGUUCACAAUUAGAUCCAUAACAUGCAUUUAGAAAAUGGAUCAUGCAAUGUCAAAUUUAAAGACAUUUCAACUUGUCUCUUGUUUUUUGAGCUAAUCAGCAUUAUGUGCUGUUGAUUGAGCUCAACUCAUCUUGAACCUGGAAUAUUCCUUUAAAAAAGCUUCAGAUUUCAGAUUCAUAAAUGGAUUAGUUUAUUUUCACAUUGUCCCAGUGAAUCACUGACACCAGGAUCCUCUCUGGUUUUGCCGCUAUACAUAUUAUCUUAUAAAAAUCACUUAUAUUAUAAUAAAUGCGUAAGAGCAUUUUAAUGUUUUUGAAGAUAACAUAAAUCAUCUCUGGGUUUCAAAGCCUAAACCAUGAAGCUGCUAGAAGAGCCUAGGCCUGAAAGGACAAUCAGUCAUCUGAGUUAUUGUUUAUAGCAUGGAUUGCUUUUAAAUUUACUUUUUGGAGGAGAGAAAUCACAAAGAUUGCGAUUUACAUGUGUUUAUUUUAUUUAUGAAGUCAAUUUGAGAGUUUUUGUGAAAGCAUUUUGUAUGUUUCCUUUGACUGCUGAUGAAUAAGCUUUUUAAAAGUAUAAAUAAAGUUUUUUUCCCCCAGGUUUCUCAUGCCAUUAAAUUAAAUGCUAAAACACACUUAAUUAAACAGUUUACUAGUAAAUGCAAAGAAUGACUAUCUCCUCAGUAUGGACCUUUUGAUGUGUUUCUACCAAGCAUGGUUAUCUGUUUUUCUGCUUCACUGAUCUUUCUGUACCAAUAGAUCUGUGGUUUUGCUGCACUGAAAUGCUCUGAUAGAUUUUACCAGAACCUAGGAACAACACGACAUGAUACAAACUCAAAUUGAGUUCAGUGUCUCAUAUCCAGCCUUUUUGCUUUAAAUUUGUUGCAGAGACAUUGCAAGUUACAGUUAACUCUUGCAUGCUACUCCAAAUUUGUGUGGGUGGAUACAGUUUAGUGACGCUGAGUGUAUUUGAAACUAAGAGCUGCUCAUGCUGUGUGGUUGGCUUAAAACACCAGCUAUACCUUAACCACUCGCACUACUACCCAACAGCACCUAAGGCUGUCAUUCACCACCGGAUGUUUAUACAGUUCACUGUGUGGUUGAGUUGAUGCUCACCUGCAACAGAAGGUUGCAUUGUCACUGCUAAGGCUUUCACUACUAACUUACCCCAAACAUUUAACUAUUGUUGAGAAACCACUGUUGUGAAAAAGGAAGCUUUAGCAGGAUUUCACAGCAUAGGUUUAAAUUAAAGAAUGCUUAUGGUGACAAUACACUUUGAAAGAAUAUACUGAAACUGAAUGUGAUGUUUUCAAAUUAGAUGUAAAUGUAUCAUUUUUGGGUGAACUCUUCCUUUAAGCACAUUUUUACAUUUACAUUUAGUCAUUUAGCAAACACUUUUAUCCAAAGCGACUUACAAAUGAGGACAAUGAAAGCAAUCAAAAUCAACAAAAGAGCAAUGAUAUACAAGUGUUAUAACAAGUCUCACUUAG